GAGGGGGUUGAUUUCUGUUUAAAUAUUUGGCUCACUGUCUCCCUGCUUGGCGGAGCUCACAGAUUCGGGGCAGUGUAGAGGCAGUGAUUGGUGCCCACAGAGUGGGUUACGAUACUGGCACUGAUACAGAAAACAGUACAAA
Long non-coding RNA from Sinocyclocheilus anshuiensis, 142 nucleotides. RefSeq lists it as uncharacterized. The transcript is spliced from 3 exons. The record is from RefSeq and is a predicted model, not a curated record. NCBI's taxonomy places the organism in Eukaryota, Metazoa, Chordata, Actinopteri, Cypriniformes, Cyprinidae.